This 450-nucleotide ribosomal RNA is filed under the name uncultured Glomus. Its description in RNAcentral is "SSU rRNA". It matches the Rfam family "Eukaryotic small subunit ribosomal RNA", at positions 569 to 1025 of the family's 1831-position model. The record is from RNAcentral. Lineage: Eukaryota; Fungi; Glomeromycota; Glomeromycetes; Glomerales; Glomeraceae.
AGCAGCCGCGGUAAUUCCAGCUCCAAUAGCGUAUAUUAAAGUUGUUGCAGUUAAAAAGCUCGUAGUUGAAUUUCGAGACCGGCUUACUGGUCGUGCUAUUGUGCGUACUGGUAUAAUCGGUUUCUCCUUUCUGACGAACUAUAAUGCCAUUAAUUUGGUGUUAUAGGGAAUCAGGACUGUUACUUUGAAAAAUUAGAGUGUUUAAAGCAGGCUCACGCUUGAAUACAUUAGCAUGGAAUAACGGAAUAGGACGUUUGAUUCUAUUUUGUUGGUUUCUAGGAUCGACGUAAUGAUUAAUAGGGAUAGUUGGGGGCAUUAGUAUUCAAUUGUCAGAGGUGAAAUUCUUGGAUUUAUUGAAGACUAACUACUGCGAAAGCAUUUGCCAAGGAUGUUUUCAUUAAUCAAGAACGAAAGUUAGGGGAUCGAAGACGAUCAGAUACCGUCGUAGUC